GCCGCUUCAAGCUACAUCACACGAGGACUGAGCUCGGGAAGCAACAUCUUCCUGUCUCAGUGGAUUUGCGGCCCACAGCCCUCUGCCCCCAGCCUGCCUUGGGUGCAUGAACCCCAGCGCACCCAGCAGAGACAUGGAUUCCUCAGCCCAAGGCCGGGCCCUUCUGCAGACAGGAGUGGCUAUCGGCCCAGGCGUGGAGCAAGGUUUGAAUUCUCCCCUCCAGCCCCCAGUGAAGAGCCCUCAUCUUGUGCCAGAGAUUGUUAGAGUGGACAUUGUUGCAUCCUCACUCUCAACUUUUGGAGCACCAAUUAAAUACCGAAGCAUCAGCCCUAAUUGGGUACUCACAAGAUGCUUUUAGAGAAAGUACUCAAGCAGUACAUAACUGGAGGCUAAAUCUGGCAUACAGUGACUGUAACAAACCAUGACAUCUGUCACAGCUCCUCUUGGAUAAACCUAUAAUGAUUGCUCCGACCAGAGAAGAAGACAUCUGAAGUCAGUAACUGAAUAAUGCUAAUGAUACUUCAUAAACAGCACAGUUCAGACAUAAUGAUGCAUUUCUCUGAAGAAGGAUGCUGAUGUGCAGGGCCUGUCUAGCAGACAUUUCCCACCCAUCCGUUCCUCUGUCCGCAAACAUCCCUGUGAAGUGCUGCAGGGGAGAGCUCUCCUUUUACGCAGCCCGAACUGCAGCAGAGACCACAGAAUCUGGCUGGGGGAAGACAAGCGUCAAACAUGUCAAUAAAGAUGAUAUGAUUUCAUCUACA
RNAcentral lists this long non-coding RNA (761 nucleotides) under Numida meleagris (helmeted guineafowl). RNAcentral describes it as "lncRNA (ENSNMEG00000000435.1)". The record is from RNAcentral. Lineage: Eukaryota; Metazoa; Chordata; Aves; Galliformes; Numididae.